GGUGGCUCAGUGGUAGAACGCUUGCCUUGCAUGCAAGAGGCCCUGGGUUCGAUUCCCCAGCACCA
RNAcentral lists this transfer RNA (65 nucleotides) under Dipodomys ordii (Ord's kangaroo rat). It matches the Rfam family "tRNA". From Rfam's summary of the family: Transfer RNA (tRNA) molecules are approximately 80 nucleotides in length. Their secondary structure includes four short double-helical elements and three loops (D, anti-codon, and T loops). The record is from Rfam by way of RNAcentral. Lineage: Eukaryota; Metazoa; Chordata; Mammalia; Rodentia; Heteromyidae.